This 700-nucleotide ribosomal RNA is filed under the name uncultured bacterium. RNAcentral describes it as "bacterial SSU rRNA". It matches the Rfam family "Bacterial small subunit ribosomal RNA", at positions 8 to 703 of the family's 1533-position model. The record is from RNAcentral.
AGAGUUUGAUCCUGGCUCAGAUUGAACGCUGGCGGCAGGCCUAACACAUGCAAGUCGAGCGGAUGAGGGUAGCUUGCUACCUGAUUCAGCGGCGGACGGGUGAGUAAUGCCUAGGAAUCUGCCCGAUAGUGGGGGACAACGUUUCGAAAGGAACGCUAAUACCGCAUACGUCCUACGGGAGAAAGCAGGGGACCUUCGGGCCUUGCGCUAUCGGAUGAGCCUAGGUCGGAUUAGCUAGUUGGUGGGGUAAAGGCUCACCAAGGCGACGAUCCGUAACUGGUCUGAGAGGAUGAUCAGUCACACUGGAACUGAGACACGGUCCAGACUCCUACGGGAGGCAGCAGUGGGGAAUAUUGGACAAUGGGCGAAAGCCUGAUCCAGCCAUGCCGCGUGUGUGAAGAAGGUCUUCGGAUUGUAAAGCGCUUUAAGCUGGGAGGAAGGGCAGUAAGUUAAUACCUUGCUGUUCUGACGUUACCAGCAGAAUAAGCACCGGCUAACUUCGUGCCAGCAGCCGCGGUAAUACGAAGGGUGCAAGCGUUAAUCGGAAUUACUGGGCGUAAAGCGCGCGUAGGUGGUUCAGCAAGUUGGAUGUGAAAGCCCCGGGCUCAACCUGGGAACUGCAUCCAAAACUACUGGGCUAGAGUAUGGUAGAGGGUGGUGGAAUUUCCUGUGUAGCGGUGAAAUGCGUAGAUAUAGGAAG